UACAUACUCCCUCCGUCCGGAAAUACUUGUCAUCGAAAUGGAUGAAAAUUGAUGUAUCUAGAAGACUAGAACUAAAACACAUCUAAAUACAUCCAUUUAUAUGACAAGUAUUUCCCGACGGAGGGAGUAUUAA
Triticum aestivum (bread wheat) is the source of this 133-nucleotide non-coding RNA. The record is from Rfam. Lineage: Eukaryota; Viridiplantae; Streptophyta; Magnoliopsida; Poales; Poaceae.